AACCUGCAGUUUAUCGCCAGAGGGAUCUGAGGUGCAUCGAGGUUCAUUCAUCAGCUCCCAAGCAAAUAUUGUAGGGUCAUCCUUGUAGGUUAUGUUCGUGAUCGUAUUGACUCUAUUCAAUACUGCCUGCAUUCAGUGAAUAAAGAAACUGUAAGGCCAACUGUCAGAUGGAUUAAUCUUCCGAAUUCGAUACUAGAUUGCACAAAAAAAAUGUUGGUUGGAGCAAUGGUCUGAAAGUUGCCUUGACAUGAGCCUUGUAGUAGCUUCUGAGAGUUGGAUGGGAGAAGAAAUCAUCAUCAGAUGUCAAAUUAAGGCCAGAAGCUUUUCCCCAUUUAACAUAUUGUGCUUUUCCACCAUAUGCAUCCCAAUUGUUAGCCAAUGAUAAUAUGAGCCUGAUCUUGUACUUAUUUGCUUCACUGACCACAAAAUCCAGGGCCUGCAGCUCAAACAAAAUUAUGACACAUAAUAAAGAAUGCAUACCAAAAUAACUUUGGCAUCCUGGCUAUCAGUAGCCUUUGUAAGCUCAGAAACCAGGUAGCAGUUAGAAAUACCUUGAAAACAUCUUCAUCAUAAACACCUGGAGAUUUUUGAAGAGCUCUCCAUUGACCAUCGUUAAAAGCCCAAGUCCUGCAAACUGAUAGACCAACUGAGGAUGCUUUUUGGAAAACCUCAGUGACCUUUCCUCUGGUAGAUUGAUCAGCAGCAAACACCAUCAGCCAGUAUGUGUUAAAUCCAUUGACAUAGAAAGGUUGGUCAUUGAUCACAAACUGGUUUCCUUUCUUUGCCACCAUUAGCCAUUCAUCUUCUUCCACAUCAUUCAACUCAUAAACCCUGCACAUUUGAAUAAUCAAAGCAUAAACGUAAAAAUCAUGUUUUACAGAAAAUUAAAUGAAUUUCUUUUUUUUUUUGUCUUCCUUUAUGGUUACCCUUGACUUGAGCUAGAAGAUGGUAGAUGAUUGUCUACUUCCUCCACCAUUGUUUUAAAUUGUUCAUCAUCCAUAACACCAAAGCUGCUGCAUUUUGAACUUUCAUUAAGAAGAAUAAAAACGGACACUAAGAAAAUGAUCUUGAACCCAAAUACCCUCUUGUGGGUAUCCAUAGUAUUGAGUCAGCAAACCAAGGGUUGCACACCCCACUUCACUGGACCCCCCGUAUUUAUAUGCAUGACCAUCUAAGGCUGUAGCAGAAACUGUGAUAUGCAAGAAGAGUGUUGAAGAGGGGAUCUACACCAUGGCUUUAAAUCCAAGAAAAUUUCAAUUAUUAUACUUUCUCUGCCAUUUUCUUUUCUUCCAAACACAGAUACAUAGAUGGAUAUACACAAGCAAAAGCUACAGACCUAGGUCUAGUUGCAUACUUAAACAAGGCUUCAGGUAUGACUCCUAAGGUAAGUUUUAAGGGUCCUACAAGAAAAUGAGACCCUUUUAAACCUAGAUAACUUGUAGUUCAGAUGACACUGACAUUACUUCAAGGUCACUGCAUCUUUCCUGAAGAACAUGUUGACAUGUCCUAAAACCAACAAACUAGAUUGGUCUCUACACACACAUAUACAUAGACAAACACGGAAAGAAAGACGAAAUCGAUGCAUGCCAUUUCUCUGCAAAAAGAAAUCUGGAGAGUAGGAGAUUGAACAAGUAUAGUGAAGCUGGUAAGCAGGUAAGCAGAACUAAGCUGAUCUGUUGCAAGCUUGACUUGAAUGUUCUGUGACACAUCAUAUAUAUGUGGCAGACCUAGAAAAAAUCCUGUAAAGCAGCCUGGCAACCUUUGAUUGUCCAAACACAUAACCUGUCUGAUUUAUCAACUAUCAUAUGCUUUUUGUUUCUGUCCUGUUUUUGGGUCAAAUUAACAUAUUUGUGCUCUGUUGCAGUCUCAAAGUUCCCAUUAACAACUGGAGAAAACUAUCUUAACUUUGAAGUAACAAAAGGUAGCUCCCAAGGAAUCUUAUGUCCUGCUUUAAUCAUAACAAAGUAUUUGAUAUCAUUAUGUAUCCUGGUAUGACUUCAAGAGUUUAUAUUUUGCAUCAUUUUGCUUUGUUUUUAUUGAAUCAAAAACCUAACAUUGGAUUAAUCAAACUUGAAAUUCAAAAUUUUCAGGGAAGAUAUGAGCUGAAUUCAGCCAUCAGAAGCUUAGAUUUCGAUCCCUUGUUUUUUUAUAAUGAAAAAAAAAAUGUCUACCAUGCAAAAUGUUGUAUCUUAGCCCAGUUGUUUUUUUUUUUAGAACUACUUUUGUUGGCCCAUUAUGAAGCACUCAUCUUGCAUGGCUCUGGUAUUUUUCUAUUUCUAUCUGGGCCUUGCUAGAAUUGUCACCCAAAAGUUCAGGAUUUUUAUUACUUUUCUUCUUCUUAUCAAAUUAAUGCACCCCUGUACUGCCACUUGAAGGUUGAUUUAAUCAAAUUCCAUUGACUAGUUGAUGGAGUCAAAUCCAAGUGAUACAUGGUUGAGUAAUUUUUAAAUAAAAAACAAUAUAAUUUUUAAAUUGAUCUAAUAAAACAAUUACCCUAACCUUGAUGGGACUUAUUAUCAAGACCCAUGCGCUCCUAUGUUCUCUCAAUUAUUAACAACAUCGAUUAACAUGAAAUAUAGGGACUAGAGAGAGGGUUUUACCGUAAAAAUGGGUAUAAUUUACUGAGGAUUUCUAUAAUGAGAUUACAAUUUUAUCCUUUAGUGGAGAAAAUGGAAGGCUUUAUAGUGAGGGUAGUGGUCUUUUCAAGAUAUUCAUUGGUCAUAAAAAUUUACUUGGGGGUAUGUUAUUUUUUUUUUCAAAUUAUUUGUAUAGAAAAAAUAGGCUUUUAUCCUCAAGAUCAACAAAAUUCAAAACUAUAAACCAAGGGUUUUUGCUCGUAUUUUUUUUUUUUAAUUUGGUCUUUAAUUUUUUAUUUUUUAUUUUUUUUAUUGUCCUUUUUGUUAAAGUUUAGUUAACUUUCAAUUUCAUCCUUCAUUCAAAGUUUAUGUUGUUUUAUUUUUAUUAAUUUGACACUCAUUUUUUUUUUCUUGUGUUUAAGUUAUUUUUCAAUUUUGUUUAACCCUCCAAUUGAAAUUUUGUGAUUAUCUUCAAAACAAUUUCUAUAAAUUUAUCCCAGUUUUAUAAUAUAGAUCAUAGAUUUUACAAGAUUUUUUUUAAUACAAGUUUUUAUAAAAUUGUUUUGUUUACAUUUGAUUUUUGAAGAUAUUAUUCUAAUUUAGCUAUAAUAUUUUUUGUUUAUAAAAAUAAACUUUUUUUCAAAAUAAUAAAUAAAUAUUUUUAAAUAAAUUUUCUGAUAUGUUUGGCCUUGUGUAAUAUAUUUUUUAUGGUAUGAAUUUAUUCAAUAAGUUUCAUUUGUGUUUUUAUUUCUAUUAUCAUUUAUUAAUUUAAAUAAACAAGUUUAACAACACAUAACCGCGUAAAUGUUUUAUUCUAUGUGAUUAAAUAUCUUAAUUUAUAUCUAUUUUUUAAAUUUGUUUAUUUUUCUUUUAGUUAUUAUUAAUAAAAAAAUUUAUUUUAAUCAGAUGUCUAAAUAUAUUUUUUUGAUAUGUACUUAGAUUUUUUUUAUAUAAAAAAUUACAUCAAAAUAAUCUUCAUACCUAUUUUUUAUAAAAAAAACAAAACAAAAUUUAUAUCCCGCAGAGUACGGUUUAAAUAGCUAGUCAAGGAUUAAAGUCAAUUUGCUGAGUGCUGGGUUUUUGGUGUUUGUUUAGCGAGUCCUCGAUGUGGUCACAUAAAGGUUUGAGCUUGAUUUGAGUGCUUAAUCACCUAGAUCUCUGCUUUAUUUAUUCUUGUCAAGCUUCAGUUUUGAGCUUGCUUUGUUUCUGUUUUGGGUGUUGAUUUCGUGGGUUCUGAUAAAAAAGAGACGUUAUAGGCUGUUUUGUUGAGGUUGAGUCCAUGAGAAGCAUGGAUAAGUGUUUCUGUGCUUCUGUUCUUGUUCUUCUUUGCUUGUUAUCGUCAAUUCAAGUUAUUUUUGCUGCAAAUUAUGUUCCCACUGAGAAAACCCUCCUAGACUGUGGGGCCACCUCCGAUCAACCUGAUUCGUAUGGUCGAGUUUGGACCUCAGAUAAGGGUUCUUCAUUCUUUUCGUCCUCUGGAAAAUCAUCCACAGCCACUGCUCCUCAAGAUCCUGCCGUUCCCCAAAUUCCCUAUCUAACGGCUCGCAUUUUUCAGUCAAGUUUUACCUAUAGUUUCCCAGUGGUUUCUGGUCAUAAAUUCGUUCGUUUGUAUUUCUAUCCUUCUUCAUACAAUGGCCUUAAUGCGUCCGAUGGUCUCUUUUCUGUUACUGCUGGGUCUUAUACACUUCUUAGCAAUUUUAGUGUUGCUCAAACCACGGAUGCUUUGAAUGAUGUUUCAAUCAUGAAGGAGUAUUUGAUCAAUGUGAAUGGUGAUACAUUGAACAUAACUUUUAGUCCGUCUUCAAAUCCUUCAAGUGCUUAUGCAUUUGUAAACGGGAUUGAAAUUGUGUCAAUGCCGGACAUUUAUAGGAAUGCUAAUGGAGUGAUGAUUGUCGGCCAAGGUGUCCCAUAUGUCAUUGACAAUACUACUGCCCUUGAGAAAGUAUAUAGGUUAAACGUGGGAGGUAAUAGCAUCACCCCAUCUGGUGAUACAGGUCUGUUUCGAUCCUGGUCUGAUGAUCAAAUAUAUCUUUAUGGGUCAGCAUUUGGUGUUCCACAGAGUGCUGAUCCAAAUGUGACGAUUAGAUAUCCUCCAGGGAUGCCCUCAUAUGUUGCCCCAGAUAAUGUGUAUCUCACUGCUAGAUCGAUGGGGCCAACUCCUAAUGUCAACGUGAAUUACAAUUUGACUUGGAUAUUUAGCGUGGACUCUGGUUUCAAUUACCUGGUUAGGCUCCAUUUCUGUGAGGUUUCAAAUAUAACCAAGAUCAAUCAGAGGGUAUUUGACAUCUUUCUCAGUAAUCAAACUGCUGAAGAAGGAGCGGAUGUCAUUGCCUGGGCUGGGGGGAAUGGGAACAAUGGAGUUCCAGUUAUUAAAGAUUAUGUCGUGCAAGUUCCUACUGGGCCUCCACAGCAGGAUAUGUGGCUUGCACUUCAUCCUGAUCUGAAAUCAAAGCCCCUGUCUUAUGAUUCAAUAUUAAAUGGUGUGGAAAUUUUCAAGCUAAGCAGUCCAAAUGGUAAUCUUGCUGGACCAAAUCCAAUUCCUGCUCCUGAACAGGACAUCAAUCCCUCAAGGGCCAGACCAGCUUCUGGAUCUGGUCAUUCAAAGAGCCGAACAGCGAUUAUAGCUGGAGGUGUGAGUGGUGGGGUUGUUCUAGCCGUUGUCAUUGGUUUUUGUGUUCUUGCUGCAUCCAGACGCCAUAGACAAGGGAAGGAGGCAAGUUCAAGUGAUGGACCAUCUGGGUGGCUUCCUUUUUCUCUUCAUGGAAAUUCGAACUCUGCGGGUUCAGCCAAGACAAAUACUACAGUAAGUUCCUCUCUACAUUCAAACCUUUGCCGGCACUUCUCACUCGCUGAGAUCAAGUCUGCCACCACCAACUUUGAUGAGGCUUUGCUCCUUGGGGUGGGAGGUUUUGGUAAAGUUUACAAAGGAGAAGUUGAUGGUGGAACAACUAAGGUUGCAAUCAAGCGUGGUAAUCCACUCUCUGAGCAAGGAGUGCAUGAGUUCCAGACAGAAAUUGAAAUGCUUUCAAAACUUCGACAUCGUCACCUUGUUUCACUGAUUGGUUACUGUGAAGAAAAUACUGAGAUGAUUCUUGUUUAUGAUUACAUGGCUCAUGGAACAUUGCGUGAACAUUUAUACAAAACCCAAAAGCCCCCGUUGCCAUGGAAGCAAAGACUUGAAAUAUGCAUUGGGGCUGCUCGUGGUUUACACUAUCUCCACACUGGGGCAAAGCACACUAUUAUCCACCGUGAUGUUAAGACAACUAACAUUCUUUUGGAUGAGAAGUGGGUUGCCAAGGUCUCUGAUUUUGGGCUGUCAAAGACAGGCCCUGCUUUGGAUCACACUCAUGUCAGCACUGUUGUCAAAGGUAGUUUUGGCUAUCUGGAUCCAGAGUACUUCAGGAGGCAACAACUAACUGAAAAAUCCGACGUGUACUCAUUUGGAGUUGUGCUGUUUGAGAUCCUGUGUGCUCGACCAGCCUUGAACCCAACACUGCCUAAGGAACAGGUGAGCCUGGCAGAAUGGGCUGCUCAUUGCCAUAAGAAAGGCAUUCUUGAUCAGAUUCUUGACCCCUAUCUGAAGGGCAAGAUCACACCAGAAUGCUUCAAGAAGUUUGCUGAGACUGCAAUGAAGUGCGUCUCUGACCAAAGCAUUGACAGGCCUUCAAUGGGUGAUGUCCUCUGGAACCUAGAGUUCGCUUUGCAGCUACAAGAGAGUGCAGAGGAUGGUGGCAAGGGUAUUGUAGGUGCAGACGAUGAGGAGGUUCCAUCCAAUGUUGCCUAUAAAGGGAAAGCUCCUGAUGCUUCCCCCGGUUAUGAUGGUAUUGUGACUGAUUCAAGAAGCAGUGGAAUCAGCAUGAGCAUAGGCGGCCGGAGCCUCGCUAGCGAAGACUCUAUGGCUUAACACCAAGCGCUGUUAGCCAAACAAUGUUUUCUCGCAGAUCAUGAACCCAAAAGGACGAUGAGCUGAUCAAAAAUCCAGGAAGGCAGUUUGCAAUCUACUGUCAAUCGUCAAGUGUGUUUGGCAUUGCGGUAGCUAUUAUGGUUAUGAUUUAAAAAAAAUUGUUUUAUAAAAAGUAUUUUUAGUUGAGAUUAGUUUGAAAAUGGUUAGAAUUGAGGUUGAAGAAAAAUAAUUUUAAUGUGUUUGAUUAUGAAUGCUUUUGAAAUUGAGAUUAUAAAAUAAUUUUAAAAAAUAUAUAUUAAUAUUGAUAGUUUUUAAUUUAAAUUUUAUGGAUUUAACUAUUACUAUUACAUCAUGAAAUAAAUCACAUUUAAAAAAUUACUUUAACAAAAAACUAUCUACAAUUCCAUUACGUAUAAAAUUCACAAGAACUAUAAAAUUAGAUAAAAUAUUAUCAAGAAUAAAAUUAAGAUUACACUACGAGUAAAUUUAAUUUACCUUAAACUAAUUUAAAAAAAACAAAAAAAAUUUUAUUGUUCACGUAGUGAAAUUAAUUAACUAUAUUGGUAAUAAAUAAAUAAAAACUUGUUCAGCGAACAGUGGAGGCAUGCUCCACUGUUCACUGAACAGUCCAUACCUGCACUGUUUUUUUUUUAAAAAAAAAAAAUGUUUAGUGAACAAUGGAGGCAUGCUCCACUGUUCACUGAACAGUGGAGCUGCCAUGCAAAAAGCAGCAAUUUGUUGCUUUUCAUUUUCCUGCGGCGAGAACACAAUAAAUGGAGGGACUCACGCACAGUAAAUAACUUUUUUUAUUUAACCAAACACUGAGGUAGUGUGUUUGUGAAGAAACGCAACUUCUACCUCGUAGCCAAAUGGGGCUCAUUUAACAAACUUAAUGUGGCUUUUUUUUUCUUUAGUUUUCUCUUGUCUAAUUCAUUUAGUUACCUUUUCCCCUCGUUCUGAUAUGUUUUGAUCAGAUCAGUUACUAUAAUUUGUAUCUACAAUUUACCUGAAGAGUGUAAAAUAAAGUUUUCUUUGUCAAUGCUGUGCAGCGAGUACCUACCAGGAGUCUGCAUAUAUGUGCACAGAAGCAAAAUCAACACCAAGAACCUGAUGGUUCCUGAUAAAGUCGGUUCCAACUUGCGUAGCAUAUGAGUUUGGAUUGAACUGAGCCCUAUCAGGAGCCGAUGGUCCAUAAAAUCCCUCCAAUCCAAUCUCUAGAGGGAUCUGAGGUGCAUCGAGGUUCAUUCAUCAGCUCCCAAGCAAAUAUUGUAGGGUCAUCCUUGUAGGUUAUGUUCGUGAUCGUAUUGACUCUAUUCAAUACCGCCUGCAUUCAGUGAAUACAGAAACUGUAAGUAGCCUGGCAACCUUUGAUUGUCCAAACACAUAACCUGUCUGAUUUAUCAACUAUCAUAUGCUUUUUGUUUCUGUCCUGUUUUUGGGUCAAAUUAACAUAUUUGUGCUCCUUUGCAGUCUCAAAGUUCCCAUUAACAACUGGAGAAAACCAUCUUAACUUUGAAGUAGCAAAAGGUAGCUCCCAAGGAAUCUUAGGUCCUGCUUUAAUCAUAACAACGUAUUUGAUAUCAUUAUGUAUCCUGGUAUGCCUUCAAGAGUUUAUAUUUUGCAUCAUUUUGCUUUGGUUUUAUUGAAUCAAAAACCUAAUAUUGGAUUAAUCAAACUUGAAAUUCAAAAUUUUCAUGGAAGAUAUGAGCUGAAUUCAGCCAUCAGAAGCUUAGAUUUCGAUCCCUUGUUUUUUUAUAAUUAAAAAAAAAAGUCUACCAUGCAAAAUAUUGUAUCUUAG
Molecule: long non-coding RNA, 8278 nt
Filed under: Populus tremula
Lineage: Eukaryota; Viridiplantae; Streptophyta; Magnoliopsida; Malpighiales; Salicaceae
Description: long non-coding RNA (PTRE_LNC001277)
Source: RNAcentral